Molecule: transfer RNA, 73 nt
Filed under: Opitutus sp. VeGlc2
Lineage: Bacteria; Pseudomonadati; Verrucomicrobiota; Opitutia; Opitutales; Opitutaceae
Description: transfer RNA-Ala
Rfam family: Bacterial small subunit ribosomal RNA
Source: RNAcentral
GCGUAUCAGCUACGACGCCGUGAAUACGUUCCCGGGCCUUGUACACACCGCCCGUCACGUCAUGAAAGCCGGU